UACACUCCUACGGGAGGCAGCAGUGGGGAAUUUUGGACAAUGGGGGCAACCCUGAUCCAGCAAUGCCGCGUGAGUGAAGAAGGCCUUCGGGUUGUAAAGCUCUUUUGUCAGGGAAGAAACGGUGGUGGCGAAUAACUACUACUAAUGACGGUACCUGAAGAAUAAGCACCGGCUAACUACGUGCCAGCAGCCGCGGUAAUACGUAGGGUGCAAGCGUUAAUCGGAAUUACUGGGCGUAAAGCGUGCGCAGGCGGUUGUGUAAGUCAGAUGUGAAAUCCCCGGGCUCAACCUGGGAAUUGCAUUUGAGACUGCACGGCUAGAGUGUGUCAGAGGGGGGUAGAAUUCCACGUGUAGCAGUGAAAUGCGUAGAUAUGUGGAGGAAUACCGAUGGCGAAGGCAGCCCCCUGGGAUAACACUGACGCUCAUGCACGAAAGCGUGGGGAGCAAACAGGAUUAGAAACCCUAGUAGUCC
RNAcentral lists this ribosomal RNA (472 nucleotides) under uncultured organism. Its description in RNAcentral is "partial 16S ribosomal RNA". It matches the Rfam family "Bacterial small subunit ribosomal RNA", at positions 332 to 796 of the family's 1533-position model. The record is from RNAcentral.